This 576-nucleotide ribosomal RNA is filed under the name uncultured bacterium. RNAcentral's name for it is "bacterial SSU rRNA". It matches the Rfam family "Bacterial small subunit ribosomal RNA", at positions 338 to 915 of the family's 1533-position model. The record is from RNAcentral.
CCUACGGGAGGCAGCAGUAAGGAAUAUUGGUCAAUGGACGCAAGUCUGAACCAGCCAUGCCGCGUGCAGGAUGAAGGCCCUCUGGGUUGUAAACUGCUUUUAUAGGGGACGAAAAAGGGACUUUCUAGUUCAACUGACGGUACCCCUAGGAAUAAGCACCGGCUAACUCCGUGCCAGCAGCCGCGGUAAUACGGAGGGUGCAAGCGUUAUCCGGAUUUACUGGGUUUAAAGGGUGCGUAGGUGGGUCGGUAAGUCAGCGGUGAAAUCUUCAAGCUUAACUUGGAAACUGCCAUUGAUACUAUCGAUCUUGAAUCAUCUGGAGGUAAGCGGAAUAUGUCAUGUAGCGGUGAAAUGCUUAGAUAUGACAUAGAACACCAAUUGCGAAGGCAGCUUACUACGGAUGUAUUGACACUGAGGCACGAAAGCGUGGGGAUCAAACAGGAUUAGAUACCCUGGUAGUCCACGCCCUAAACGAUGGAUACUCGACAUACGUGAUAUACUAUGUGUGUCUGAGCGAAAGCAUUAAGUAUCCCACCUGGAAGUACGAUCGCAGAUUGAACUCAAAUGAAAUUGAGG